CAGUCGCCGCGGGAAUACGGAGGGGGCUAGCGUUGUUCGGAAUUACUGGGCGUAAAGCGCACGUAGGCGGCUUUGUAAGUUAGAGGUGAAAGCCCGGAGCUCAACUCCGGAAUUGCCUUUAAGACUGCAGAGCUAGCAGGUGAGAGAGGUGAGUGGAAUUCCGGGUGUAGAGGUGAAAUUCGUAGAUAUUCGGAAGAACACCAGUGGCGAAGGCGGCUCACUGGCUCAUACUGGACGCUGAGGUGCGAAAGCGUGGGGAGCAAACAGGAUUAGAUACCCGCGUAGUCCCUGUCUCUUAUAC
RNAcentral lists this ribosomal RNA (301 nucleotides) under uncultured bacterium. RNAcentral's name for it is "partial 16S ribosomal RNA". It matches the Rfam family "Bacterial small subunit ribosomal RNA", at positions 509 to 807 of the family's 1533-position model. The record is from RNAcentral.